Oreochromis niloticus (Nile tilapia) is the source of this 621-nucleotide long non-coding RNA. RefSeq lists it as uncharacterized. The record is from RefSeq and is a predicted model, not a curated record. NCBI's taxonomy places the organism in Eukaryota, Metazoa, Chordata, Actinopteri, Cichliformes, Cichlidae. The transcript is spliced from 5 exons.
ACUAAGUUUGUAGGACAAAUUACAAACAUACGAUUUCAAGUGGUGUUUUGAGGAUCUGUGUUUGUUCGUCAGAAAGUUUGCACGACUAUUGCUGAGGAAAUGCAGAAUGUGCACGAAUUGGGUCAAGCCUACAAAAUAAAUAAGGUACUGUGAAGUAACACGAAGUGAGUUUUAUGCUGAUCCGAAUGCCUGUGGUCCUCCACGCACUCCAGAGACAUAUGACGCGGCUGUUGCUGAUCUCCAGUCUGAAACUAUCCAAGACGUCAGAGGAAUAAAGGUGGCAUUUCUUCUUCAGUGCAAGUAUGAGUGACUCAGAGCGAACCUUCCUAGAUGUCGCCAUCACGGAAGUCCUACCAGAACUUCAAGCGGUGAACAAAAACAUCCUGGAAGAGCACUUGCAGUCCAUUGGAGUUGAGACAAGUGAUGAUCUACUCUUCGUAACGGAGGCAGAUUUGAUGACAGUAUUAAGACCUGUACAAGCAAGAAAGCUUCUUUCUGCUUGGAAACAGAAAUACCAAACUCCAGAGAACAGCUCACUGUCAUCUGUGGAAGCCUCAUCCACCCAGUCGCUGUCAUUGCUCUCUAUUUCACCCCAAAGUCUAUCGUCGACCUCCUCCAGCA